RNAcentral lists this ribosomal RNA (423 nucleotides) under uncultured prokaryote. RNAcentral describes it as "partial 16S ribosomal RNA". The record is from RNAcentral.
CCCUAUGGGGUGCAGCAGGUCCGGUUAUUUCCUUGGCAACAUAAUCUUUGAUGUACAAGUGUCCAUUUUUAUUCAGCACCUGAGCAACACCCUUUAGCACUGCGCUUUUAUCGACAGCAUGUCCAAACGACUCAAGCAUAAGAACCAAAUCGAAAGAUUCGGAUUGAAAAUACCGGGUCAGAUUAUGAAAAUCGACCAGUUGCACAUCGACUUUACCAAUUAGUGUUUGUUGCUUCAGAGUUUGUUGCGCAAUAUCGAGUUGAACCUGUGAAUUCGUUAUGGCAACUAUUUCGACAUCGUACUCACUGGCAAAAAUUGAAGCCGGACCACACACACCACAACCAGCAUCGAGUAUUUUCAUGCCAUUACGUAUACCCGAUUGUUUGACAAUAUGAUGUAUAAGUUGUUCUGUAUCGGGAGAGC